This 200-nucleotide unclassified non-coding RNA is filed under the name soil metagenome. RNAcentral describes it as "partial contains internal transcribed spacer 2 and large subunit ribosomal RNA". The record is from RNAcentral.
CCUAUUCGAGCGUCAUUAUCACCCCUCAAGCUUGGCUUGGUGUUGGGGCGUGCUGUAACGGCAGCCCCUAAAAUCAGUGGCAGUGCCAACAGGCCCUAAGCGUAGUAAAUUCCUCGCUAUAGGUCCCUGUGGACACUCGCCAGAACCCCCCAUUUUUAAUGAUUGACCUCGGAUUAGGUAGGGAUACCCGCUGAACUUAA